Molecule: long non-coding RNA, 1186 nt
Organism: Octopus bimaculoides (California two-spot octopus)
Lineage: Eukaryota; Metazoa; Mollusca; Cephalopoda; Octopoda; Octopodidae
Source: RefSeq, a predicted model, not a curated record
GUGAUUUGGCACGUGUAAGAAACGCUUAUCGAACGUGCGCAGGUCCUGCCUUCAGUUUCAUAGUAAACAUCUAGGUCCUACCUCCCGCAACUUCAAUGUAAUCUGUUAGGUACUGCCUUCACGCACAGUUAAACAGGCUGGUACUGCCUCUAAGUUUCAUUGUAUAACACCGGGAACUGCCUUUACGAUAUUGUAAAUCAAUGAAACGUUACUUUCAAGCUUCUUCACCGACAAUAUCUCUCGUAAUUGUAAACAAAAAUUAAGAAUCUUUUUUUUAAUGAUUAUUUGCUGCCUACUUCCAUUUUAUUAAUGUUCUAAAAUUAUCUGCAACGCCCACCACCACUACCACCAAAAAGAGAGUACGUUAUUUCAACCUCCGAUCAUUCCGUCCAGAACAUAUGAAACUGGUGAGAAUCAAAAAUUUAAAGAGCAAAUAACUCUUUAGAGCCUCCGAAGCUGGUUGGAAAAAAAGGAAGUUAUUCUCAAAUCAGCAAGAGACUGGACUGCUAGGGUAACCAAAGGUCAAGUGUUGGCAUUAAAAGCAGGUGAUGGAUUCAGUUUAUCAUGCAAGACUAUGAACAAACCUGUGAGAUCAUGUAAUUCUUAACCAUAUGCUUGAAAAUGUACAAUGCUUUGUCGAAAAGAGACAAAAAACAGUUUAUACAGUGAUGAAAUAAAUUUUUAAAAAAUUUCUUGAAAAAACAAAAAGCACCAAAUAAAGUGAUUUUUUUUUUUUUUUUUUGGUUUAGUUCCAUAACACUGGAUUGAAUAGAUAUCUAUGAUCAAAAACAUUCUAGCUGUGACCAUCUUAUCAGGGUGUAUAUUAGAGAUUUCUGACCAUUUUGUUUUUAAUAUGGCAGAGUGUUAAUUGGAAGAAAGAGGGUUUAGCUGCUAUUUCUAGCACAGCAAAUAACUACAUUAUGUGGACUGGAAUAAACUAUUGCAUACCAAUACUUAAAUACAGAAUUAUGCAUAUCAAAUAGAAAAUCAGCAACCUUGAGAUGACAACAAAUACAAGUUUGUCUUUAUCUGUUACAAUCUCCUACCAACACAAUUAGGUUGUUGAUAUUUUAAGUGUAAUUAGUCACAGCCAUGUCUAGUUAAAUAUAAGGUUGUUUAAUCUACUUUUUAUUAUUUAAAGCACUUCACUCAUUGAAGAGAGAAGACUUACUUGCAUAGCAACUUA